UGGUUUCUUUUGCAGUCUUUACAGCCUACCCGAGGUCACCUGCUUAGUUAUUGAGGUGCCAUCAAGCCCUUAAGUGAGGGGCGAAAGAAAGCGUCACUGCAAACGAAGACCAUAUUUGAGGACUAAGGAUCUCGAGUCUGCAGCCAGCAGUCAGUGGCACGAGACAUCGCAAGUCCAGAACGGUGCAGUGGUGCAUGUACGCCGCACACAUGCGUUAACAUGUAUUGUCCUCUCCGCGUGAACGUUUAUGUGCCUUGCGUCGUUUGCCGAUUUACAGAGGCUACCUUACACAACGCGACUCGGGCUCAGAGUCAAAAUGAUGUAACCACUCUCUAGCGCAGGGGGUAUGAAAGAUCUUUAUAGCAUGAAAUUGAAUGGAUUUAUGUUUAGAGAGGUAAAGAUAAUUCGCCAUUCUAUGGUCGCUAAGUGCAAGUACUGGCUAUACUGUUAUUAAAAUACAUUUGUGGUGAACAUUUCCGCAUCGAAUUAUGAAUAUGUGUAAUGGCUGUCACGCCAUAUGGUUCUUGUAGCCAAAGCUCUAGAUUUUCGCAGGUUCAAGUGUCAUGCACUUAAUUUUUUUCUUACUAAGCUUCCGAGUGAAAAAAUGCUCCUUGUAUGCAUAAUAAUUUUUUUUUUUAUUCGACAAUACAUAAUUUUCUCAAGC
Molecule: long non-coding RNA, 664 nt
Filed under: Dermacentor andersoni
Lineage: Eukaryota; Metazoa; Arthropoda; Arachnida; Ixodida; Ixodidae
Description: uncharacterized LOC126544044
Source: RNAcentral